GACGAACGCUGGCGGCGUGCUUAACACAUGCAAGUCGAACGGAAAGGCCCUGCUUUUGUGGGGUGCUCGAGUGGCGAACGGGUGAGUAACACGUGAGUAACCUGCCCUUGACUUUGGGAUAACUUCAGGAAACUGGGGCUAAUACCGGAUAGGAGCUCCUGCUGCAUGGUGGGGGUUGGAAAGUUUCGGCGGUUGGGGAUGGACUCGCGGCUUAUCAGCUUGUUGGUGGGGUAGUGGCUUACCAAGGCUUUGACGGGUAGCCGGCCUGAGAGGGUGACCGGCCACAUUGGGCCUGCGAGACGGCCCAGACUCCUACGGGAGGCAGCAGUGGGGAAUAUUGCACAAUGGGCGGAAGCCUGAUGCAGCAACGCCGCGUGCGGGAUGACGGCCUUCGGGUUGUAAACCGCUUUCGCCUGUGACGAAGCGUGAGUGACGGUAAUGGGUAAAGAAGCACCGGCUAACUACGUG
RNAcentral lists this ribosomal RNA (468 nucleotides) under uncultured bacterium. RNAcentral's name for it is "partial 16S ribosomal RNA". It matches the Rfam family "Bacterial small subunit ribosomal RNA", at positions 28 to 507 of the family's 1533-position model. The record is from RNAcentral.